GAGGCUCUAGCUUAAUUAAAGUGUUUGAGUUGCAUUCAGGAGAUGUGUAUUAAUAUUACAUGAGUCUU
RNAcentral lists this transfer RNA (68 nucleotides) under Anolis lucius. RNAcentral's name for it is "tRNA-Ala". The record is from RNAcentral. Lineage: Eukaryota; Metazoa; Chordata; Lepidosauria; Squamata; Anolidae.